CUUACCGAGUUAACAUGUUUUAGGUGCCUGUCAUGUACUUGAAACUUCCUUGUUUAUAUGAGAAGCAUGAUGUUUGUCUCAUGUGUUUAUGUGUUAAUAACGUGUCAGUGUUUUAAUUUGCGGUGAUCUUCCGGGAAUCUCGCUCACGGGCGCACUUGCACAGUGGCAAAGGUGACGACAAAGCGUGUACUCUUAAUCUCAGGAAUAAUUAUCAAUCCUGAGAAAAAAAAAUCUAGCAGACUCAGCCCCUUAUUAUCCCCGAGACCGUGUAAAGACGGUACGGUGAAAAGGAGAAAAAGCAAACACUGAACGCAGACGCUUCUGUGCACUUCUCCUGCAUUGUGUCGCUCAGCCAGAGGAAUUUAAGGAGGUUUAAUUGCCUAAAACAGUCCUCUCGUCCACAUGACGGUCACACUGCAAGUGCUCAUGUUGAUACACCGAAAUGUAACAACAGAUGACUGGAGAUGGACUGCCACUGGACUAGGGCCAUGCUGGAUAAGCCUGAAAGCAGUAGGCAGGGAUGCACUACAGGGGUAUAUGUAACACUUUUCUAAAGUUAAAAAAAAAAACCAAAACGCUAGGAGCAUCCGGGACGAUUUUUUUGGAAGGCAGACGACCUAAACAGUUAGCUUGUAUACUCUAAACAAGUGCUAAAAAAAAAAACAAAAAAAACAGAGGAUCUGACCAAAACACAACUGUCCAGGAUCAUCUACACACAGACGGACAAGUUCCCUGCACCUACUGCUGGCCAGAGCAUGGAAGAGAAAUUACUUUCAUUAUGAGGACCUUCUGAAAUUUCAUCCGAAAUACUUACGAAGAACAGAAGAGGGACAUCGGAACACCUUCCGAAAAAGACAAGUGAUAAACAAAUGGAUCCAAUUAAAACACACUUCCACACUUCAUGUCAGCAAUGCAAGGAGGCAAAGUACACACAGAGUAUGGAGAUCACCCUUCUCCCCAAGUUCAAAGGCACAGGAGCUCAGAGGGCUGGAUUUGUUCAGGCAUAUUUGGUAAACCCCUGGAUUUGAAUUGUAGUGUGCAAGGCCAGAAGACCAUGUUUUAAAAAUGUUACAUUGUGAGAUUUUGUGUGAAAUCCCCAUAAUAAAUUCACCAAGUGUGCACAAGAAAUGGCUAUUCAUGUUUGUGGUCCUAAGUUUCUUUUUUUUU
Long non-coding RNA from Pangasianodon hypophthalmus (striped catfish), 1167 nucleotides. RefSeq lists it as uncharacterized. Lineage: Eukaryota; Metazoa; Chordata; Actinopteri; Siluriformes; Pangasiidae. The record is from RefSeq and is a predicted model, not a curated record. The transcript is spliced from 4 exons.